GGCCUCUGGGUCACCUCCCCCCGUGUUUAUUAUACCUUGUUGCUUCGGCGGGCCCGCCGUCAGGCCGCCGGGGGGCUUCUGCCCCCGGGCCCGCGCCCGCCGAAGACAUCUCGAACUCUGUCUGAAGAUUGUAGUCUGAGUAUAAAUAUAAAUUAUUUAAAACUUUCAACAACGGAUCUCUUGGUUCCGGCAUCGAUGAAGAACGCAGCGAAAUGCGAUACGUAAUGUGAAUUGCAGAAUUCAGUGAAUCAUCGAGUCUUUGAACGCACAUUGCGCCCUCUGGUAUUCCGGAGGGCAUGCCUGUCCGAGCGUCAUUGCUGCCCUCAAGCACGGCUUGUGUGUUGGGCCCCGUCCUCCGAUCCCGGGGGACGGGCCCGAAAGGCAGCGGCGGCACCGCGUCCGGUCCUCGAGCGUAUGGGGCUUUGUCACCCGCUCUGUAGGCCCGGCCGGCGCUUGCCGAUCAACCAAAUUUUUAUCCAGGUUGACCUCGGAUCAGGUAGGGAUACCCGCUGAACUUAAGCAUAUCAAUAAGCCGGAGGAAAUUAAUU
This 548-nucleotide ribosomal RNA is filed under the name Penicillium raistrickii. Its description in RNAcentral is "eukaryotic LSU rRNA". The stretch from base 161 to 314 matches the Rfam family "5.8S ribosomal RNA". The record is from RNAcentral. Lineage: Eukaryota; Fungi; Ascomycota; Eurotiomycetes; Eurotiales; Aspergillaceae.